GUUGGACUAGUUUAAAAAAAACGCUUCUCUGUGGCAGAAAAAAAGGGCAAGGCCCGUCUAACC
This 63-nucleotide transfer RNA is filed under the name Lyonsia norwegica. RNAcentral describes it as "tRNA-His". Lineage: Eukaryota; Metazoa; Mollusca; Bivalvia; Lyonsiidae. The record is from RNAcentral.